This 488-nucleotide ribosomal RNA is filed under the name Eunectes notaeus (yellow anaconda). RNAcentral's name for it is "partial 16S ribosomal RNA". It matches the Rfam family "Bacterial large subunit ribosomal RNA", at positions 1850 to 2597 of the family's 2925-position model. Lineage: Eukaryota; Metazoa; Chordata; Lepidosauria; Squamata; Boidae. The record is from RNAcentral.
AGGCAAUGCCUGCCCAGUGAGAACAUCUUUAACGGCCGCGGUACCCUAACCGUGCAAAGGUAGCGUAAUCAUUUGUCUAUUAAUUGUAGACCAGUAUGAAAGGCCACAUGAGAGCCAAACUGUCUCUUGUAAUAAAUCAAUUAAACUGAUCUCCUAGUACAAAAGCUAGGAUAAACCUAUAAGACCAGAAGACCCUGUGAAGCUUAAACUAACCUAUUAAAUCAUAUAAUAGCUACUUUCGGUUGGGGCGACCUUGGAACAAAACAAAACUUCCAAACACAAAUUGGAACUCCCAAUAAAAACAGGCUAACAAGCCACAGUACGACCCAGUAUAACUGAUUAUUGAACCAAGUUACUCCAGGGAUAACAGCGCUAUCUUCUUCAAGAGCCCAUAUCAAAAAGAAGGUUUACGACCUCGAUGUUGGAUCAGGACACCCAAAUGGUGCAGCCGCUAUUAAAGGUUCGUUUGUUCAACGAUUAACAGUCCU